This is a long non-coding RNA of Brachypodium distachyon (stiff brome), 811 nucleotides long. RefSeq lists it as uncharacterized. The record is from RefSeq and is a predicted model, not a curated record. The transcript has 2 exons. Lineage: Eukaryota; Viridiplantae; Streptophyta; Magnoliopsida; Poales; Poaceae.
GCUUCGUACAGUUUCUGAAUUAUCUUGUCUGUUCAUUUGAUGAUUCUAACACACGAGGAUAUAGUUGUUCUAAGAACACCGCAACCAAAUACACUUGAUGAACUACCAGUGCGAAGCCCUUCGACCAGACUACCGAGAAAACACCCUUCUUCAGGAGAAGCCGCUUCUCCCAACUGUCUAACAAUUGCACUGCCGAUAAUCACACCAUCCGCUCCCCAGCCUGCAAUCUGCAUUACAAACAGCAAAGCAGUCAAAAGUUGUAACAUAAUAUAGACGUAAACCUGAAAAGAAAAUCGUGAGAGCUUAAUGUACCUGCUUCGCUUGCUCUGGAGUUGAUAUGCCAAAGCCAACAGCCACAGGUUUGUCUGUAACCUGUAAAUGCAGGAAAGAGAGACUAUUAACUUCAAUCAUUCUUCUACAUUCUACAGAUAAAUUUAUAUGCUUGCUCUAGUUUACUAUUUAUGAUAAGUAGUGUGUUUAUAGUUUGCAGACCUGCUUGAUCUCCUGAAGAAGAUGCUCAACGUGUAAGUUUACGUUUGAGCGCGUGCCUGUAACUCCAACAGCACUCACCUGCAUAACAUAUGCGCCACAUAUACCGGUAGAUUGAGUUUUCUAAUCAAAUUCAGGGUAGAUGUAGAAUAUGAUGGUGAACGCACAACAGAUGAAGUGAUGAAUCAAGUGCUUGAGAUGCCAUGAUUUUACUGUUUGCAACUUGCAAAUUUCACUUGUCUCCAUUUCCUUAAUGUUUUGUGGCCUUAAUGUGUUAGAUUUCCUGGAAAUUUAUAUGAAGCCCGAGAUGAAAAUGGCAUGC